This is a long non-coding RNA of Piliocolobus tephrosceles (Ugandan red Colobus), 1483 nucleotides long. RefSeq lists it as uncharacterized. The record is from RefSeq and is a predicted model, not a curated record. The transcript is spliced from 3 exons. Lineage: Eukaryota; Metazoa; Chordata; Mammalia; Primates; Cercopithecidae.
GUUUUAAAAUGGGUUCCAAAGCCGCGCGCUCUGUCGGCCCAGCGGGUUCGCGGCACCAGAGGUGGUCCGCAGCCGCGCAAGGAUUCCCACGGUCGUUCUGGGCUGGGGCAGAAGCUGGUGCUCCAGCACCCAGCGGCCAGCAGGCUCGGCGAGGCACAUCUCCCCACCCCACCCCCACACACCCCCGUGGGGUGCGUCGAUCCUGUAGCUUAGAGGGAGAAGCUACUUAGAACUUCUUGAAGCACAGAGGAUCUGGAGCGAGCCCCGCAGCUGGAAAGAGUGGUCUUAAGUUGAACCCGCUUACAGUAAGAUGCAGCCCAGAUCACAGCGAAGUGUGGGGCCUGUCUCUAAAGCCGAGAAGGGAACCGCUUUAGAAAGUGGCGUGGGGGGAAGAAAGGAAAAAGAAAGAAUGAAUGAAUAGAAAGAAGAAGGAAUAUUAAAGAUCGGAGAGGAAGUUGAAGAGAGAAGAGUUUUCUCUUUCCUUUCUGUUCCUGUUGACUCGGGCCCUCAGAAUCUCGAUGAAGAUAACACAAGGAGUGCACAGGCAAGUGCCCAGUUGCCAGCAAUUGCUUCAAAAGCCCAUGUUCUUCUCUUUGCCCCACUCCUAGGCACAGCCAAAAUUGGUCAGAAAGGGGAGUAAAGUGGGACACGGGCUUCAAAGCAGGGAAGCCAAAGAAGGGAGCAUCCACGUCCUCCCUCUCCAGCUUCUCCCCUGCGUUCUUCGGGCGAAUCCGAGGGGCGGGCGCUGCGCUGGGGAAAGUUUGUCCCACCCGCGUUUCGCAGCUGGUUGCAAGGAGAGGAGGAGGAGAGGGAGGGUCGAGCUCGGAGCCUGUGGGCGCACGGAUGAUCGAGCCGGCGUCGCGCUUACCUCGCAGUCCUCGUACUUGAUAUUAUCUGUCAAUUUCCAAAGCAUUUUCAUGGAUCGGCGUGAACGGAUAUGCCCCUCUCCGUCUCGCACGCAAGUGGAGCUACUCUCAGGCUCUUUACCAACAGCCUAAUCGCCUCAUUAGCAUAUCAACAAUAGUCCAAUUGCUCGCCAGUACCACAAUCUGCCGCCGGCCGCUCCGACACAGAGAUGCCUUCUGCAAAGCCCGGCACUGCUCAAAGUCCAAGCCGCCACGCCUGGGGCCCGGCUUCUAGCACUUCUCCCUUAACCCCACUACCACGAUCCGAGCUGCCCUUUUGGCCCCGUGGAAUUUUAUUAGAAAUCAUUAUCCCUUUCGCAAUUAAACAUAACCACCAAACCAAGACCGGCGAAGUCACUCCAAAAUUUUUGCCCAACAAGGGAUCGCCUCCACUUGCGGCAGCCACCCCCUCGGGCCGCAGCGCCUUGGGAGUUUUAUUGGCUUUGAGCUUUCCCUCAAGUUGGAGAUUCUGCCAAGCGACUCCGGUGGCUCUGCUGGGGUUUGCAAUCCCUUAAUUGCGGCGUGUAAAAUAAAAGUUGUACCCUGAAGAGGUUACCUGACAGCUCCGGGGGUUAAAC